UCCCUAGUGGCUCAGUUGGUAAAGAAUCUGCUUGCAAUGCAGGAGACCCAGGUUCGAUCCCUGGGUUGGGAA
RNAcentral lists this transfer RNA (72 nucleotides) under Bos taurus (domestic cattle). It matches the Rfam family "tRNA". Rfam says of the family: Transfer RNA (tRNA) molecules are approximately 80 nucleotides in length. Their secondary structure includes four short double-helical elements and three loops (D, anti-codon, and T loops). RNAcentral also lists the same sequence under 3 other names. The record is from Rfam by way of RNAcentral. Lineage: Eukaryota; Metazoa; Chordata; Mammalia; Artiodactyla; Bovidae.